GCCAUCAGGAGGACUGAAACUGUAAACACAAGCUGGUAUUUUGGUGUGAUCACGCUAAUAUGGCGGUUUGUGAGGUCAAGGGGUGGAAGGUGAAUUAUGGAUCCAGAAUUUCCUUGCUUUUGUCAGUUUAAGUCAGGCUGCUUGCGAGUAGCUGCUUUUCAAACUUGAAUAACUCAGCUAUUUUAAAGCAAUGGAGACCUACCUUAAAUAAUUAGAGGGGCUACACUGGAGAAGUGUCUUCCCAGGAAAGUAGUGGAGGCUCCAUUCUGCAGAACCUUUAAAAUUAGACCAUGAAAGGCAUGUAACAGCCUCGUUCUCAACAUAACCAUGAGUUGUUCACAGCAUAAAGUGUUGGGUAAAACAACCCAAGGUCUUUAUAAAACUUCUCAUCUCAAUGGAAAACCAUUUAGGUGGCUUGUUUUAUUAUUAGAAGUUCACUUAACAAAAAAAUGGAAAAUAGUUUAUUUAACUGUCCAGUGUACCCUAAAAAGAAAUGAACCAAGUUUCAGACAGAACUCGGAAUACUUCUCCCACUUUGCUGUUGAGGAAAAAAUUAUCUUUGUUGUUUAGUUACAGGCAGUAUGAUAAGGAACAAUCUGAAUGACACGUAAACAGGAGGGGGUAAAUUCCAAGCACAGCCUGAAUGAGAAGUACAACUCAUUUCCUGUAACCUAGAUGCCUUUUUAACACAUCUAUGCAGUCUCCAUGUGAAACCAGGUGCUGUUCCCAAAGGAGAAAACACUGCCCUCCAGUGGUCUUCAAUGAAGAAAUGGAAAUAGUUUCAGGUGGAAACCAGGCUUCUUGGAAGACUUCAAACUAUGCCAAAUGGUCUGAUUUCACCAUAGAGAAAUCUAAGCUGAGACAACUUAAAACUCAAAUGAGAUGCAUGAAAGCACUUGUCAUCCUGACACCAUAUUGAGAAACAUGAUCAGAUUCUUUGCUGAAGAAUGCAGCUGUAUUAAAGGAAGAAAGAAAACCAAGCUACAGCUCCUUAUAAUUCAACAAGCAUUUAAAAGAUUUAUAAAGAUGGUGCAAUUAUGUAUUUAAGCUGCUUCAACACAAGUUCUUGCCUUUCACUCCCACCCUGUGGCUUACACUGGUAUUACAUCUAUUCUGACAUUUAAAAAUCAACAUUAAAGAACAUAUUGUAAUAAUGUAUUCUAUGGUUUAAAUAUUUAAAAAAUUUUACAUCAUACCUAGAAAGUGUUGUGUACUUUCUAAAGCUUAUAAACUGAAAAGGAUUUGAAGAAUCCUAAUACAGAAUCAUAAGUUAUAAUUCAUCCAAAAUUGUAUAGUUCUUAAAUUUCAAAUCCAAACCAGUGGAUAUCUGUCUUUAGUGACAUUUAGAUUUUAUUCAAUUAAGGUCAUUGUAGCUAUUAUAAAUGGAAGAUUUUACUUCAUUGUGUCUUAUCACUGAAGUACUUCACUCUUGCUUUUCAAAAGAUUUCUUUCAAUUUCUUCAGAGUCUUAUUUGUUCUCUAAGACAAAGACUUGAUUUCAGUUUGUUUUUCUUAAAAUUAAUAUCUUCUCCAAUUUAUUUCCCAGUUUUUUCUAAAUAAAUACUUUAAAUAUAUAGAGUAUUAUUUUUAUAGUAUCUCAGAAUUAGUAAAAUAAAAUCUUGCCAAUACAAA
Molecule: long non-coding RNA, 1631 nt
Filed under: Homo sapiens (human)
Lineage: Eukaryota; Metazoa; Chordata; Mammalia; Primates; Hominidae
Description: PREDICTED lncRNA (TCONS_00162223)
Source: RNAcentral